RNAcentral lists this ribosomal RNA (484 nucleotides) under uncultured bacterium. RNAcentral's name for it is "partial 16S ribosomal RNA". It matches the Rfam family "Bacterial small subunit ribosomal RNA", at positions 30 to 507 of the family's 1533-position model. The record is from RNAcentral.
AUUGAACGCUGGCGGCAGGCCUAACACAUGCGAUUCGAGCGGAUGAAGGGAGCUUGCUCCUGGAUUCAGCGGCGGACGGGUGAGUAAUGCCUAGGAAUCUGCCUGGUAGUGGGGGAUAACGUCCGGAAACGGGCGCUAAUACCGCAUACGUCCUGAGGGAGAAAGUGGGGGAUCUUCGGACCUCACGCUAUCAGAUGAGCCUAGGUCGGAUUAGCUAGUUGGUGGGGUAAAGGCCUACCAAGGCGACGAUCCGUAACCGGUCUGAGAGGAUGAUCAGUCACACUGGAACUGAGACACGGUCCAGACUCCUACGGGAGGCAGCAGUGGGGAAUAUUGGACAAUGGGCGAAAGCCUGAUCCAGCCAUGCCGCGUGUGUGAAGAAGGUCUUCGGAUUGUAAAGCACUUUAAGUUGGGAGGAAGGGCAGUAAGUUAAUACCUUGCUGUUUUGACGUUACCAACAGAAUAAGCACCGGCUAACUUCGUG